AUAGCACUAAAGUACUCUCUCACAGAAAUCCUCUCUAGUGGUGUUCCAAGAUGACUCGACCACCAAUGACAUCAGGCGGGCGUUCUUAUGGGACAGGACCAACUACCCAACCCUCUGGUUCUCAAGCUGCUGGUGCCCAAAGACAUGUUGCAAACCAUGAACCAGUUUAGAAUAGGGAAGAAGUUGCACAUGUUCCUGUACAACGUGAUGUUCGUGUACUCCACCCAGCUAGACAAAAUGGAGCUAAAUGGUUCAAAAACAACACUGAAGUAUCAACUUGUGUUCGAAAGAUCAUUGAAGGUUGUUUUAGAGGACCAUGGUAUAGCUGGAAAAAAGUACCACCGUUUUAUAAAGAUGCAUGGUUUUCAACCUUUCAGGUGAGUUUGAAUGGUAUAUAAAUCUGAUGUAUUUUUUUUUUACAUAUGUUAAAUGAUAUCAUAUAUAUAACGUUUAUAUACUUAUCAAUUUGAUAUCAUAUAAUUUGUAGACUAAAUUUGAGUGGGAUGCCUCGAUUGAAAAUCUUGUUAAAGAAAACUUUGAUCAACUUGCCGCUACCCGUCUCAAAGGAAUGGUUAGUCUCGCAAAGUCAAAUGGAGAAAAACCUGAUUGGAUUUUGUCUGAUUACUGGAGGGUAAUGUCUGAGUAUUGGAGAACAUCAAAGGCCAAAGAUAAAAGUGAGAAAGCACGCGCUUCUCGUCUAUUUAGACGUGAUGGCUUAGGUGUACACAGACACAGAGCAGGCUCACGUUCUUAUGCUAAAGUUCAGGAUGUUUUGGAGGCAAACAAUGAAGACUCUUCUUUCAUUGCUGUGCUGAAAAAAACACACCAGAAAUCUGAUGGAACUUAUGUUGAUGAAAGAGCUCGACUAAUUGCUGAGAAAUUUGAUGAAUGUGUUCAAGAACGCUUGUCUGAAAUGGAAAAUUCUAAUGGAGAGGAUUUGACGAUAGACAAUCUCACCCUUGAAGAGAAAAAUGAAAUCUAUUCUAAGGUAAGAGCUUAAACUUUUAUUUCACUUUUAAUUUGUUUUCCCUAAAGUCUGAGUUUUAUACAUGGUAUUUUAGUUUUCGACAAAAACAGAAAUACAUAUUUUAGUUUUUUAGUUCUAAACAUUGUGUUUUAUUGCUUUUAUGUGGUUAUAAAUCUGGUGUUAUAAUAUCUGAGUUGUAAACAUGACUUUUUUGUAGAUUGUUGGAACAUCAAAACAAAGUCGUGUAUUUGGACUUGGGUCACUCCAAAGAGGUGUUUUAAUGCCUUUAGAGUCUUCGACGGGUUCUCCACUAGGUAAUGCAGAUGUGGGAACAAUAACUCAUCGAGUGGAAGAGCUUGAAGCUGAAUUGCAAAAGAGUCAUGAUGAGUACGAAGACCUUAAGAAACGAGUUGAAGCUCUGGAGGCUUUCUGCUUCAACACAAACUAGUUUGGCUUAUGGUGUUAUUUCUGGUUUUGGUUUUUGGUGUUAUUUUAUUGGUUUUUAGUUGCUUUAUUCACUUGCUAUGAUUUUUUUCAUUUAAAUUUAUGUUC
Brassica napus (rape) is the source of this 1519-nucleotide long non-coding RNA. RefSeq lists it as uncharacterized. The transcript has 4 exons. The record is from RefSeq and is a predicted model, not a curated record. NCBI's taxonomy places the organism in Eukaryota, Viridiplantae, Streptophyta, Magnoliopsida, Brassicales, Brassicaceae.